Gopherus flavomarginatus (Mexican gopher tortoise) is the source of this 1532-nucleotide long non-coding RNA. RefSeq lists it as uncharacterized. The transcript has 3 exons. The record is from RefSeq and is a predicted model, not a curated record. Lineage: Eukaryota; Metazoa; Chordata; Testudines; Testudinidae.
CAAAUUGUUCUGUGAGCAAGGGCUGGGCCCGAGCAGAGAGACUGCGGGUUCUAGGGGGCAAUGCUUCACGCCUACCUCCCCUGGCGGGCCGCAAUGCAUGCUGGGAAUCGUAGUUUCUAUGGGGGUCCGCGUAACUUGUAAGUUGGGGCGCUUGGCCCGUAGGCCAGACUCGGAGCGGGGCUGAACCUCAGCCCCACCACGUUAGUGGGGGUGAGGGGAACAACGUGCCGCAGCCAGGGGUUCUGCUACUUGAAUGCACAGACUUCAGCAGAACCACAUGAUGCAAGGGGCAUCUUCACAGAUGGUCUUCACCUCUGCUCUGCUGCCUGAUGCUGUUGCUGGCCUCGUUCUUCCAGCUCCUCAAGUUGUGGCUGCACCUAAAUUAAAAGGAACUGCCAUGCCAGUGAUCCAGUUAAUUUGGUGUCCAUGUUCAUAAAAUCCAGACUGUUUUCAGGAGCCAUGCUACAGAAGAUGGACAACAGUUUGCACAGCUUCCAGAAGCCUCUUUAUGGAGCUGUGUGAGAACUUUGCUUUGUUUAUGCUUUUGUUUUGUUUCAGCUUCUGUUGUCAGAUCCAGUUUUAAAACUCCAAAAGAGUUAAGUGCACCAAAAGAGGAGGCUGCAAUUGUAGAAAAAGACUGCACUCUCCCCAUGAUGGGUAGCCCACAGGGACAAGCACAGCCCCCAAAGUCCUGGCUGGGAAGGUGUGUGGCUAGGGCAGCUAGAAGAUGCACUUAAUCAUUGUGUUCCUUCGAGACUUCUGCCAGUGAAGUUUUCUGGAGCCUACCAAUAUAAUUUAUAGCUGCUAUCUCCAAUGAAACUUCCAAAGGAGGGCAGUGCAGAAAACAGUGCCUGCCCUCCCAUGAAUCCACCUGGAUGUAGAGACCCCCAGUGGUGCAGGAGCAAACUAAAGAGGGGUGAUCUGGCAUACAAAAUAUAUUCAACAUCCUCUGAAUUGAACAGUUAUUAAAGUUUCCUUCUGGUGAUAGCAAAACAUUCUGUACACUAUGAAAAAUAAUGCUCCAAUAUCUGUUUCUAAUAAAGUUAUGGCUGGAUGGAUUCAUAAAACAAACUUCUUUUUAUUGAUAAAAAUGACCCAUAUGCUAUAAUAAAGAAAAAGUAUAUUAUACAUAUAAGUGCUUUGUAGCAAAGUGUACUCUGAUCAGAGUCAAAAUUGUUCUUGUUGUCAAAGGGAAGAAAUGUGACUGAGAGAUUGGAAAUCUAUUGAAAUAGCUCAAUUGAUGUGUUGCUACAGUUUUUAGGCAAACUGCUAGUCCAUCUGUUAAUAACAACUUAAUAAAACCAAGGAAUCAGUAUAUUCCUUUUUCCAUGACAAGAUGACUUACUGUUUCAUAAAUACCAAUGUAAUGUUUUAUUUGGUUCUGCAAUCCCUGGUUUUGCUCUUGAUCCCACAUAUUUUAACAGUUUGGGCAAAAUAUGAGAUGACUUUAUCCCUUUCCUUUCAACAUUUGUUUUGAGGUGUGAUCAAUGCCUUCUGCCUUGCCGUUAAAUAGAUUUUGAAAAACUCGUUAA